UAAUGGAGAGUUUGAUCCUGGCUCAGGACGAACGCUGGCGGCGUGCCUAAUACAUGCAAGUCGAGCGAGGGUCUUCGGACCCUAGCGGCGGACGGGUGAGUAACACGUAGGCAACCUGCCUGUAAGAUCGGGAUAACAUAGGGAAACUUAUGCUAAUACCGGAUAGGGUUUUGCUUCGCAUGAAACGAAACGGAAAGAUGGCGCAAGCUAUCACUUGCAGAUGGGCCUGCGGCGCAUUAGCUAGUUGGUGAGGUAA
RNAcentral lists this ribosomal RNA (256 nucleotides) under Brevibacillus laterosporus. RNAcentral describes it as "partial 16S ribosomal RNA". It matches the Rfam family "Bacterial small subunit ribosomal RNA", at positions 1 to 260 of the family's 1533-position model. Lineage: Bacteria; Bacillati; Bacillota; Bacilli; Caryophanales; Paenibacillaceae. The record is from RNAcentral.